Molecule: long non-coding RNA, 9238 nt
Organism: Falco peregrinus (peregrine falcon)
Lineage: Eukaryota; Metazoa; Chordata; Aves; Falconiformes; Falconidae
Exons: 3
Source: RefSeq, a predicted model, not a curated record
AAUACUCCAACCAGCUUUUACACUCAACCUUGUUAACCAAGGCACCAGUUGUCGUAUCACUAGGGUUACUGGUGAUCGAAAAUUCAACCCUAAUGAUAACUCAUAAAGUUGGGAAUUGUUCACACAUGCACUAGAAACAGUGUAGGUAGGUAUCUGGUAAGCAAAGACUACAGUUCCCAUGUACAAUACCUGGUAGGAGUAAAUAAUUAAAUGAGCACAGAAAAGAAAUCAUUCCUUACAAAAGAAAAGCCACCAGGCCUAAGGCUGUGCAGUCAACUUAUGCAGCUCACUUCAACAAAGUUCCUCUUAUUAUUGUGAAAUAUUUGUUGCAUGUGAUCAACACAGCACAGAGAAAGAUGUUGCUACUAUUUCAAUGUUUCUUUUAACUCAUAGACAAAAUAACCCAGGGCCAGAAUGUUAAUAGGACUGACCUAGUUCAAAUAUACCAGCAAGGAUGAGAUUUUCUGAUGUCUUCUGAAAAUCUGAUCCCAACUGGGCACAAUUAUCAUGAAUAUCUCCUUCGGAGUAAUUCUGAAACUGCUUUUGAAAUACCAGCAGAUCUAUCAGCCUAUUGUGAAGACCUACAAAAGUAAGUGGCUUGUUGAGGAGGAAGGAUGCUGUCAAGGCAUUGACACCCUUGUGUACAAAAUUUUGCAGCAGAUUUUGCAGGCAUCUGAAGGUAAGCACAGGAGACUUCUUUUCCUUCCCUUUGCAUCAGUAGUACUCCUAACUGCUGUGUUUACACAAGAGAUGAUGCAGAAGAUUACACAUAGAUUUCAAAAAGAUUGUGAAAACAUUUUCAUGAAACAAAAGUUUAUGAGAAAUCAGAGACCUCAUAACUUCCAUGAUUUUUUUUUUGCUGUUUUCUUUUAAAUUUUAGUUUAUCAAAAAAUCCUAACAAAAUUUUGCAAAAACCUAGAAAAAGGGAAAGCACUGGUUUUUUUGAAUGGUGUUAAACAUUUUCUCCAUAUAUAGUAUUUAUAUAUUAUGUCAUUAUAUACACAUACUAUGCUUAAAUAUUAUACAUAUAUUUGUGUGUUUCUGUGUAUGUGAAAGGAUUCAGACUACAUAUAUUGGGGGGGCAUUUAAGUACAUAUAUAUACACAAUGAUCUAUCUAACAAUUUGAAAACUGAAUGCUGUUUUAAGAAGCACCUACUUUCUAGAUACACAAAUGUUUAAGUGCCUUACUUGGGGGCAAACUAGGUAUGAAAAAAUCUCUGUGCACCCCAGAUAUAACACAAAACAUCUUCCAGUCCACAGACAGCCAGCUUCUCAAAGCAGAAGAUUGCCCAUGUAAAUCCCCAUUUCUGGGCAUGUUCAGAAGCACAUGAACUAUUUCCUACUCCAGACACUUUGGGACUCUGAAGCUGGAUGCUCCCUUUUUCCUAAGUAGAAGAUACCCUAUCCUGUAAGACAUUCAGGGAUUCUUACCAGUUUGGGCAAGACAGAAAGUACUGAUGAAUGAGGAAUUCCUGCUCAUAAAAAUCUGCUUUUUACUCAGUAGCUAAGACUGGAGAUUAAUUUUUUUCCUCUGCACCUUUCUUGAGAGAAUGCCCUAAGCCACCAGGCUGUAGUGUCUGCUAAAGAAGGGUGUCAUCCAUCUCUCCAGCUGGUCCUCUUCACUUUGGACAGACCUAUUCAGAAGCAUUCACUAAAUCAGUGAGAAAGGAGAAGUAUUCCCAAUACCUAGUGCUGAGGGUACUUACAGGGUAGGCUAGAAGGAGCCUGGUGUUCCCAGUUUUUUCCUAAAAAUAGUGAAGUAUCAAUAUUAGCUAAUCGAGGCAGUUAUUCAGGUUCACUUUUGUACUCUCUGAACUACUGAAUAUUAAACUAUUCUGUAUAAAAUGGAAUGGUUUCUAUGGAGAUGGAAAGUGGCCUGCUGAAUUCCAUGUUUUGAUGGCUAAAGCAUUCUUCGAAGGUGGAAAAGUAUAUCCUAUCUGCUAAUCAGACAUUGUCAGUGCAACAAAAAUUCAUAGUCAUCUCACCCUGUGCAUCUUACAAUUCAGUCUGGUCUGCAAAAGCACAUGGGAAGUACAGCAGCUGAAUAUGAUGUACAUAUGCCACCCUCCCCAUAAGGAAACAGAAGUCUUUUUACUGAGAAGAAAACUACCUUCCCUUAUGACUACCACACUGGAGUAAUGAGCUUCCCUCUAAGCAACAGGUGAUGUAAGCCCGAGAAAUGUAUGAUCAUGACAUACUUGCUGUCUUUACAGAAAGGCUCAUUCUCGUGGAUUCUUGGAAUAAGAAACCAUCUAUUGCAUCUGAAGUCAAGAGGGAACUAUGUUCUAACAAGUACCUGAGGUUUAUUUUCCUUGUUAAAUGUAUUACAAACACUGAGAGUCCUUUGCUUUUUUCUUUAAUCCAGAAGUUGUAUUUUAACAUCACCUAGAGCCUCAAGCUCCUUGGCUUCUCAGCAGUUUUUGCUUGCAUAUUUGCUUUCCUUGACUUAAUCUUUUCUUUAUUGAUAACUUAGAUCCAUUCAGAUUCAUUCUGUCAUAUUUGAGAGAGAAAAGAGUGCAACAAAAUUUGAGAACAAAAGGGAUGAGUGCAUUGGAAAUAAAAUCAGCAGUUUUAUUUUAAUGCUUAAGGCCUUUACAAAGGAACAAUUUGUGCGACAUUGCUGAAAGCCAAAGAAAUCUUAAUACAAAAAGAAUCAAUAGUUUGAUAAAACCCAGACCUCCUGUGUUAUGCAAUUAAAGGUUAGAAGGGCGAUAAGAGCUUUAAUUUACUUUUGGGAGAUAUUAAUCAGAUUUCGGAUUAACUUAAAAUAUGCUUCCUGUGCAUUUCUUGCCAGGUGAAGGCCCUUCAAUGUUUCCUCUGGUGCAGAGGAAGAGAAAACACCUUCCCAAAGUGAGGUGAACUCCACAAACCUAGAUAUGCUAUCAGGAGGCUUUCUCCAAACUCUGUAAUUGUGAUUUUUCUUCCAGCGGCCAGGAAAGCCAGUGGUAUGAAUUCCCAUAUGUGCUAGUUUGAUGUGAGCUCUGUUAUUAUUAAUUAUUUAUACAGCACCAUGCGUGUGCAUGAUUCUUUAUAGACAAAAGAUAAUAUCCCCCAAGAGCUUGCAAACCACAUGGCCCAGUGGUACAAACACUUCUUUAGCUUUCCGAGGAUGUUCUACCUGGAAUAAUCCACCGACGUCAGUGGGCUACUUAGGUGCUGGUAAGUGCUUUGCUGGGUGGGAAGUGUUUGCAGGAUUAGGCUGCAGUUAAACCAUGAAGUGAUCAUGGGUGAUGAGGGAAGGGAGGGUGAGCGUUCCAGCAAUAAGAUCACGCUGUUGCUCUGGUUAUAACGAAGGUGUCAAGGGGUUAGGGCAUUUUUAGCGUUUUAUGUUAUUUGUGAUCCUGUUACCAAGAAGGAAAAGCAACCCCUUUACAGGCCACACGGAAGAAGUGAGCUGCUGAGGAGGAAGACUUGCUUCAAUCUGGGGGAGAGGCACAGCCCAUUAUGCGCGGGAGAGGACUCCAGAGCUAAUCCCCACAAAGACACUUUCAUCUGCUGAUUAGUCAUGCUCCAGCAAUCCUUGCUAACCAGAGGCUAAGUUAUUGAUGUGUUAAAGAUGUAAUCGCAGAGAUUCAAGACCACUGAAGAAAAUUCAACAUGUUGUUUGACAGUGUCAGAAUUUAACAGUGUCUUGCCUUAUUGAACCAGCCUGGGUAGCACAUGCUCAGCAGCACGGACAAAUCUCUUCAGUUAGUCUACGGGCAAGAAAGGCUGUGUUGGAAAGGGUUUCAAGUCUACAUGGACAUGCUGCACUAUGAAACAUGAAGAGAGGGGGUGGGGUUUUCCCAAAAACUUCAGGGAAGUGGGGCCCCCACCUCAUUCAGCAGGAACAAACCAAACUGUGGAGUUUCUCUAAAUUGCACCCAAGUUUCUGAGCCAAAAGGAGCAACACAUUUUCCAUUAUAACCCAUACAUGUAAUUCUGAAAAAUUCACUGUCAUGGCUUGUAUUUCCCAGGCCUUGUCUCAGCUGAAUGCUUGUUUAGAAACUAUUUGAGCAAACCCUUCUUGCACCUUUUCAUGCUUAAACAAUUCUGACCACUGUGAAACAAAACUUUCUUCCCGGCCAUUGCUGUCUUUAAGUGCUUUUCCAUUUAGAUGAUGACAAGCUAUGAUGAAGCUCAUAUACUAGCAGCAGUUUCCCAUGAAUUCACAAAGACGAUAAUCCCAAAUGUUUACCUUAAUAAAUGUGAUAAAUGUGCUAAGGAGAAUAAAGAAUUGUGGAGCUCUACACCCUGGCUUAGAGCUAACGGGAGUCUUGAAGACUAAUCCACCACCCAGCGAGGCAGCUUGUAUUACGCUUCAGAAAAGGGAACGUGACAAGCCUGAACCUCCAGCUCCAGCAGUCAGCACCUCUCUGACACAGCUGUGAUUAGCAGCUACAUGACACAUGUUUAAGUUAAUCAGAAUACAUCCUUGUCACAGGUACAUCACAACUCCCUCAGUUGCAUGUGUAUUCAUGGUGAUGCUUCACUAUCUUGACCCUAACAGCUUUGUGCUGUUUAAGAAAUUAAACAUGAGUGAGACCUGCUCUAAUUCCCAACUGACUGUACAACUGGCAUGUAGAGGUCUUCAAGAAAUCAUGCGUAAUCACUUUUUGGGGCAUAAACAUAUAUUCAGUUGCCACUACCCAUAAUUAUCCAGUAAUAAGACCCACUUCACUCAGGUCUUCUCCAUCAUCAGUGGACAAUUGUAGAUUAGUGGUUGCCACAGUCAGCCUGGGCCUGAAGAUGGGUUAGCUGUUCUUGCAUAGUAUGAAGCCUGAACAGAUGUGCCCUGCUGAGCCUGAGCUGGCCGCCUUCAGGGCUAGGCCAGGUGUCACUGCAUCAUGUCUCCAGACUGAAGGAGAUGACAGCAUAGAGAUCCCUACACAGAGGCUCAAGAGGGUCCGAAAGCAGCUGAUGGUGUUGUACUGGGACAGGAGCUGGGCUGGCUCUGUGCACCCACCGAAGCAUCUCUGCAGAAGUUCUGAACCCUCUGUGUGCUGCUCCUCCUCCCACAACUGUGUUAAACAAAUAGCCAGGCACUGACUGCACAAACUCAGGUGCCUGCUUUGUCCCAUUUUCAAAACUGCUGCGUUAUCACUCUCUCUGUUCAAUGAGCUAAAAGAUGCUCCAGGUUUGGACCCUCUGUUCCACAAUCUUAACAUUAUUUAUGUUUGACCUGGAUCAGUACAGCCAUAUGCCUUUCCUGUCUUCUGUCAUUCAAUCUCAAGUGCUGUUCACUAAUAGACUUGAUCCUCAUUUCCGGGCUUUACCCGUUCCUUUCAUGUCUUGUGCUAAAAGACACUGAUGAUGCUUCUUCUGCCCCAUCCAGCCUUGUACUCCUCUGUAUCACUGAUUUUUUUCCACAUGGCUUGACGUUUCACCCAUAUUAUGUCAGUGUCCCUUAUUUUGCAGCACAAAUGCAUCAUCUGUCCCUUCUGUUUAGUAAAUCCAUGAGCCAGAUCAGAAUCCCCCUUUCCUCAUGGAUAUUAGACACAGAGCAAUAUGUACAGGGUUCAUGGCAGCCAGCUUUCUGCCUUCUUACUAGCAGCUGCUUCUUCAUCUGGUGUAUUUCUGGACGGACAGUGUCCAGUUCCAGGGCAAAUACUGGAACUCUUUAGGAAUGUUCUUGGAAUCCUCUGGCUGUGCUCCGUCUGAGAGCCCAAAUCUACUGAGCACAUAUAAAUUGGUCCAUUGGUAAUUUGUGCUGGAAAGCCCUGCUGAAUAUAGGAAUAUGCCAGGAACACAGAAUUCUCAGAUCCUCUUUUCAGAUGAAAUGGCUGCUUCUCACCCUGUUUACCUUUCAGCUUUGUCCUGGCCAGCUAAGACUGGUGACUGUUCCACACACCAUACCAAAGAUUUGGUCCAUCUAGGCACAAAUCAUGCUUGCAAGGGCAGGGGAGCUGAACUCUGCACCACAAUUGGAGCUGGUCCUGAAGAUUGCCUGCGGGGUGAUGCCCUCUGAGUCCUGUGCCAGCCAUUUGUUUGGUGGUGUUAUUACAGCAAAAUAAGCCAAAUGAACCUAUUAGAAUUUUAUCCCUCAUAUACAGUAGGAUUUUGUAUUAUCUGCAGCUGGGACAGUCUGACCUUAGGCUGUAUGGCAAAUGAAAAAAACAAAUUUCUUUCAAUGCCUGAACUGUAUCAAGUCUGCUCUGAUUUGUGUCAGGUCCAGCACUCAUAACUCCUCUGUAAUUGUACAUUUAAGGCAAUGGUUUAGUUCCUAUAUUUUGUGCAGCCUAAACGGAAGACUUAAGAAUUGGACUUCCAUUUUGAAAUACCUUUAUUUCUUCACUUUUGGAAAAUGAUUAAUUACUGUGAGCAAUUGAUGAGAUUAAAAUGUACAAAAUCACUCAUAACCUGUAUAUGUCAAAUUCCAGGGCAAUUAGGCUAUUACUAGUGAAGAAAGGCAGCACAGAGGAAAAACAUGUUUUCACUGUGACCUGGCAGUUCACUGACUCAGAGAUAGCCUAUCUGUACCAGAUCUGUGAAGCAAUCCAGAAUAUUUCAGCCAGCUGGGAUGGAUAAUGCUGACACACGCGAGACAGAGCCUGUAGUUUUAUCUCACAGAGGCAGUAACAGCACUCCACGUAAUUAACAGGUGUCACGUUGUUCCAGGGGUUUUGAAUGAUCCCACCCUGGUUUUAUUCUAAUGAACAGUUUAGUUUGCACCCACAUUGACUGUCCCUAGGCCUCUGUGAGUAGGCAGGUACUGAUUACACAGGUAAUCAGUUUGUACAGCUCUUCGAGGGACUCCAUCCCCAUUGCUGCACCUGGACAAUCACAUGCAUGAAUGCGGUAAGGAGUGCACCUUGUUCCUUUACCCCAGGCAGUGUUGUUCACUCUCAUUCGGAGGCGGCAAGCACCCAGCUCCUUCACUGUUAUUUUGCAGAUCUGGAGAACAAACCAUUGCUUCUUUUUUAAAGGACAUCCCAUUAAUCAGUUUGUGAAUGCUGAUGUAUAUCCCUUUGCCAAUGGCUUAGCAAUCCUUUCUCUUCUCGUUACCCAAGGUGAUUUUACACACUUCCUGGUAAGAUCCCGUUUCUUGAUGACAGUAUAACCAGAAAGGUACCCAUUAAUUGGCCUUCUCAGUCCUCCUCUUUUCUUCUUUCAGCUAGCUUCUCUUUAUGGAGAGUUACCUUGGAGCAAGAGAGCUCUAUCCUGUGGCACCUGAGAAAGCAUGCCUGGGGACCCUCAGGCUCAGAGUAACCUUUGCCCGUCCCAGGGCACAUCCAGCACUUGGUGAUAUGACUGGAAACCAUGACAUUCUGCUCAUGUUUGGAAGCCUAUGGGACAGGAAUUGCUGGUCUUACCUCUUGUUUGUAAUCUUUGGCUAUUCACGGCAUUUAAAUAGUGUCUAGCUGCUGUGCAGACUUAUGGAGAAGGUAGAAUGAAUCAUACUUGUAGCGUGAAUGUGUCUUUUAUGCUAGGAUGUUCUUUCACUGGAGAAGUUCAUAGCAGCUAGUUGGGUCUAAUGGACCUGAAUCUGAUGCCAUGCCGCCUGUAUGAUUUCUUCUGUAACCUAUGAAUUUACCUCCUUCACAGGCCUUGAAAAAGAACGGCUUAAAUGAUUUCAAGUGGGCAUGUUGAAGCCUUGCUGGUGUAAGCUCUACAGGGUAAUAUAAGCCAUCUCAUACUUUGGCAAUGGCAGAAGAUCCUUAAUGCUAAUACAAAUCCAUGAAUGGUAGCAGAGGUUUUGCCUGGUGCCACUUUAUUAAAGUUAGUAGGAUAGCUACAAGCUAUGGUGUUUCUACCUCCUCUACUCUGAUUAUUGCUUAGAAUCAAGUGCCAGACUAAUUAGUUCACUGCUGAAGAACUCUGCAUGGCUUUUGUAGCAGAUUUCAUAUCCCAUACAAGGCAACAAUUCACAGCUCUGAGUCCAAGCACAAGAGGGCAUUCCAGAUGGGACUGGAAAAGAAAAAAGCAUUAGUAUCAGAUAACUUUAAACCAGCUCAUGUAGUGCAUUUCCCUCACUAGUGCUCCACCACCCACCACCCCAGCUGGCUUCAGAUUCAUCUGUUGAAUACCCAACUGAACGCACAGGACAUGCAACACUCACAGUGUACAUAGAUGUGAUAAAAUUCAGUUCUUACCUCCUUGUCAAAGGGCCCUAGGCUGUGGAUCACAAAUGUAAAUGAGUAUAGCUGAAUGCUUUUCCAUUUUCGCUUUUGUUUUUACCAUGGGGGUUUGAAGUGUCACAUUCUGCAAUAUAACUUCCCUUUUCUAGUCACAAACAAAUGACAUCUGGCCACUUUCAAUAAUAAACUUGAGGAGAAGGGACAUUUCCUUUCAGCUUGUUGGGCCCCUACUUAACCUUCAAAUUCCUAUGAGAGCUGGGGAGAAAAAAACCCUUUUUAAAAAAAAAUCCCCUAAUGAUUAAACUCACUGAUGAAAAAAACUUUCCUUUGAGCCUCUGAGUACCAUUUGCUUCACACAAUCUCAAACAUCCCAACGCAGUUAAUGUUUGAGGAGCUGUUUGAUGCCCCCACUCUCGUUUUUACAUUAUACAGGAAACUCUUGCAGGAAAUGAACGUUCCGUCAGCCGCCUUCUCCCUCAACACCUUGGGCUUACAAGUCUAAUACAGAAAGCAUACAAGGAAGAAUUAAGGUUGGGGUAAGAGCACCAGAGAGGCAGGCCAGACAUCAAUAAAUCACGCACCUUGAUUUUCCUGCCUGGCAUAACAUUCAAUUUUCUUUCCGGAGAUGCUUCUGGGUUUCACUGAGCAAGAAGGUUUCAGUACCUGUCCCACAGUGGGGCUCAUCAUUCAGGUUUUUGUGGGCUGAGUCUGCUUUGUGUCUGUGUCAUUUCAGUGGGCAUUUUCAAAGGAACACAAAGAAAUUCAAUACCUCUCUUCCAUUUCACAUGAAAGAACGGGCUCCUGGCCCUUUAUGUAUCCCCAGCCUGAAUAUUCUUGUCACUGUAACAAUGUGGUGCACCUCUUUGUUCGGAUGGAAAGAGCCCAGUUUCAACCAGACUCACCCAACAGGGAGCAAAAAAUGGCUGAGGUUAUCAAGAUGAAUAAAAAUUGGGGAAGGCAUUGUGAGCAGGGGUAAUGAAAAGCUCUUUUCUUCAGUUCUUAGUCAACAGAAAUAGCAGACACAUUAUUUUAAAGAUUAGAUUGUUCAGGCCAAACCACUGCCAAUGAUGCAAUGUGUAGUAAGUCCAGAAAAGGCAAUUCAGUGACUGUAUAAGGAAGUGCAUGACCUCCUCCUCAUGACCUACAAGAGCUUCUUUUAGAACUGAUCCAGGACAAGGGA